Molecule: ribosomal RNA, 349 nt
Filed under: uncultured Acidobacteriota bacterium
Lineage: Bacteria; Pseudomonadati; Acidobacteriota
Description: bacterial SSU rRNA
Rfam family: Bacterial small subunit ribosomal RNA
Source: RNAcentral
UACGGAGGCUGCGAGCGUUGUUCGGAAUUACUGGGCGUAAAGAGUGUGUAGGCGGUGCUCUAAGUUCGGUGUGAAAUCUCCUGGCUUAACUGGGAGGGUGCGCCGGAAACUGGAAUGCUCGAGCGUGGGAGAGGAAAGCGGAAUUCCUGGUGUAGCGGUGAAAUGCGUAGAUAUCAGGAGGAACACCUGUGGUGUAGACGGCUUUCUGGACCAUUGCUGACGCUGAGACACGAAAGCGUGGGUAGCAAACAGGAUUAGAUACCCUGGUAGUCCACGCCCUAAACGAUGCAUACUUGGUGUCGGCCAUUCAGUUGGUCGGUGCCGGAGCUAACGCGUUAAGUAUGCCGCC